Molecule: small nuclear RNA, 74 nt
Filed under: Monopterus albus (swamp eel)
Lineage: Eukaryota; Metazoa; Chordata; Actinopteri; Synbranchiformes; Synbranchidae
Description: U1 spliceosomal RNA (ENSMALG00000002785.1)
Rfam family: U1 spliceosomal RNA
About the family: U1 is a small nuclear RNA (snRNA) component of the spliceosome (involved in pre-mRNA splicing).
Source: RNAcentral
AUACUUACCUGGCAGGGGUGAUACCAUGAUCAUUAAGGUGGUUUGCCCAGGGUGAGGCUCAGCCAUUGCACNNN